RNAcentral lists this transfer RNA (72 nucleotides) under Camelus bactrianus (Bactrian camel). It matches the Rfam family "tRNA". Rfam says of the family: Transfer RNA (tRNA) molecules are approximately 80 nucleotides in length. The record is from Rfam by way of RNAcentral. Lineage: Eukaryota; Metazoa; Chordata; Mammalia; Artiodactyla; Camelidae. RNAcentral also lists the same sequence under 2 other names.
GUGGGUAUAGAUCAGUAGUGGAGUGCAUGCUUAGCAUGCAUGAGGUCCUGGGUCCAAUUCCCAGUAUCUCCA